Non-coding RNA from Mycena epipterygia, 90 nucleotides. The record is from the annotation of a GenBank genome assembly. Lineage: Eukaryota; Fungi; Basidiomycota; Agaricomycetes; Agaricales; Mycenaceae.
GCACCAGUGGUGUAUGAUGCACUCGCCGACCUCAUAAAAAGUCGUGAAACACCUGAAGGGCGAGACGGGGUUCGAUUCCCUGCUGGUGCA